UGGUGGAGNNNNNNGUUUAAUUCGAAGCAACGCGAAGAACCUUACCAGGUCUUGACAUCCUUUGACCACUCGAGAGAUCGAGCUUUCCCUUCGGGGACAAAGUGACAGGUGGUGCAUGGUUGUCGUCAGCUCGUGUCGUGAGAUGUUGGGUUAAGUCCCGCAACGAGCGCAACCCUUAUUACUAGUUGCCAGCAUUCAGUUGGGCACUCUAGUGAGACUGCCGGUGACAAACCGGAGGAAGGUGGGGAUGACGUCAAAUCAUCAUGCCCCUUAUGACCUGGGCUACACACGUGCUACAAUGGAUGGUACAACGAGUCGCGAAGUCGUGAGGCCAAGCUAAUCUCUUAAAGCCAUUCUCAGUUCGGAUUGUAGGCUGCAACUCGCCUACANNAAGCCGGAAUCGC
This 404-nucleotide ribosomal RNA is filed under the name Carnobacterium sp. AZTITEMP78. RNAcentral's name for it is "bacterial SSU rRNA". It matches the Rfam family "Bacterial small subunit ribosomal RNA", at positions 930 to 1335 of the family's 1533-position model. The record is from RNAcentral. Lineage: Bacteria; Bacillati; Bacillota; Bacilli; Lactobacillales; Carnobacteriaceae.